CGGAGCCCUGAGCUCCUAGAGCCAACAGCUGCCGGGAGAGGCCCCAACUCCUGGGCAGGGGGUGGGGACCAGCCCCAUCCUAGGGGGAAGAUGAGGUCCCGGCCCGGCCACAGCCAGUGCCCCAAGCUUGGGCUGGAUGGUGGGGUGACCUCUUGUCCCUGGCAGUGAGCAGGACACUUGGUGCUGGGGUGAGGGGACAGAGCCAUGGCCUGGAUUUCAGCCCCGUGGGGUCCAUCUCACAGUGGGGGCAUCCCCUUAUCUCCAGCCAGAGGGAUGCCCCCUGUGAGGCCAUUUCUGGACCCCGAGCCAUAGCAAGAGGAGGACCAGCAGCUCUGACAGGAGCGGCCUCAUUCCAUCAUGGUUUCGGGCACACGCUCAGAGCUGAGGAUCCCAU
This 394-nucleotide long non-coding RNA is filed under the name Mustela putorius furo (domestic ferret). RNAcentral describes it as "lncRNA (ENSMPUG00000030214.1)". Lineage: Eukaryota; Metazoa; Chordata; Mammalia; Carnivora; Mustelidae. The record is from RNAcentral.